AGCAAGUACAAGUAUGCGAGUAUGGAAGUGCUACUCUCCUUCAUUAGAAACAUUAUAGGAAUAUGUUUCAAUAAGUUGAGGUUGUGAGAGGUAACUUUCCUAUGAAAUCACAACUGAGACUUCCUAAAUACAGAUGAUCAUCAUACUCCAACACAGAUGUCACAAAUGACAUAACCUUUCCAUUUGGAUCAUCAAAGCCUUUGGUUAUCUUCCCAUCAGCUGCAACAUUUACUACCAUUGCUUUGUCGUAUGCUCCCAUCACCCACUUCAUCAAUUUGGGGAAAGUUGCCAACAAAUGUUUUGAAGCUCUCGACUUGUGUAUGAAAUUUAGCCGUGGAGCUGUUACCUGUACUAGAGCAAUCCAGAACGAACCAUCUGGAGCAAGCUUGAUGUUAUCUGGUGCACCAACAAGGUUAUCAAUGAAUAUCUCUGUUUGUCCUUUCAUUUCAUCUUUUAA
Molecule: unclassified non-coding RNA, 457 nt
Filed under: Hevea brasiliensis (rubber tree)
Lineage: Eukaryota; Viridiplantae; Streptophyta; Magnoliopsida; Malpighiales; Euphorbiaceae
Source: RNAcentral